UACGUAGGGGGCGAGCGUUGUCCGGAAUCAUUGGGCGUAAAGCGCGUGUAGGCGGCUCGAUAAGUCCGGUGUGAAACCUUGGGGCUCAACCCCAAGCCUGCACUGGAUACUGCCGAGCUAGAGUCCGGGAGGGGAGAGCGGAAUUCCUAGUGUAGCGGUGAAAUGCGCAGAUAUCAGGAGGAACACCAAUGGCGAAGGCAGCUCGCUGGGACGGUACUGACGCUGAGGCGCGAAAGCGUGGGGAGCAAACAGG
Molecule: ribosomal RNA, 253 nt
Filed under: uncultured bacterium
Lineage: Bacteria
Description: partial 16S ribosomal RNA
Rfam family: Bacterial small subunit ribosomal RNA
Source: RNAcentral